GGAUGUGAGGGCGAUCUGGCUGCGACAUCUGUCACCCCAUUGAUCGCCAGGGUUGAUUCGGCUGAUCUGGCUGGCUAGGUGGGUGUCCCCUUCCUCUCUCACCACUCCACGUGUGUCCCUCCCAAAGCUGCGAGCUCUGUUGAGGAGGACGGGCUUCCAGGAAUAGAGACCAACUGGUCUUCCGUCAAGGGUAUAUGAGUAGCUGCACUCCCCUGCUAGGACCUCCAAACAAGGUCUCCAGAAAACACCAUAGAAUAGCACUUAGAAUCUCUCACAGUUUUCCAGUCUCUCAACCUUAAUUUGAAUAUUAAUAUUCAAAUAGAA
This 324-nucleotide small nuclear RNA is filed under the name Erinaceus europaeus (western European hedgehog). Its description in RNAcentral is "7SK RNA". It matches the Rfam family "7SK RNA". From Rfam's summary of the family: 7SK was discovered as an abundant small nuclear RNA in the mid-70s but a possible function has only recently been suggested. Two independent studies have found that 7SK RNA binds the CDK9/cyclin T complex (known as elongation factor P-TEFb). Lineage: Eukaryota; Metazoa; Chordata; Mammalia; Eulipotyphla; Erinaceidae. The record is from Rfam by way of RNAcentral.